Molecule: ribosomal RNA, 466 nt
Filed under: uncultured bacterium
Lineage: Bacteria
Description: partial 16S ribosomal RNA
Rfam family: Bacterial small subunit ribosomal RNA
Source: RNAcentral
AUUGAACGCUGGCGGCAUGCCUUACACAUGCAAGUCGAACGGCAGCACGGGUGCUUGCACCUGGUGGCGAGUGGCGAACGGGUGAGUAAUACAUCGGAACAUGUCCUGUAGUGGGGGAUAGCCCGGCGAAAGCCGGAUUAAUAACGCAUACGAUCUACGGAUGAAAGCGGGGGACCUUCGGGCCUCGCGCUAUAGGGUUGGCCGGGGGCUGAUUUGCUUGUUGGUGGGGUAAAGGCCUACCAAGGCGACGAUAGGUAGCUGGUCUGAGAGGGUGACCAGCGACAUAGGGACUGAGGUGCGGCCCAGGGUGGUAAGUGAGGCAGCAGUGGGAAAUCUUGCCCAAUGGGCGGAGGCUUGAUGAAGAAGCCCCGCGUGUGGGAUGACGGUUUUCGGGGUAAAAACCGCUUUGGCCUGUGACGGAGCGUGAGUGACGGUAACGGGUAAAGAAGCCCCGGCUAACUACGUG